RNAcentral lists this ribosomal RNA (460 nucleotides) under uncultured bacterium. Its description in RNAcentral is "bacterial SSU rRNA". It matches the Rfam family "Bacterial small subunit ribosomal RNA", at positions 337 to 794 of the family's 1533-position model. The record is from RNAcentral.
UCCUACGGGGCGCAGCAGUAAGGAAUAUUGGUCAAUGGACGAAAGUCUGAACCAGCCAUGCCGCGUGAAGGAUGAAGGUCCUCUGGAUUGUAAACUUCUUUUAUAUGGGACGAAAAAAGGGUUUUCUAACUCGUCUGACGGUACCAUAUGAAUAAGCACCGGCUAACUCCGUGCCAGCAGCCGCGGUAAUACGGAGGGUGCAAGCGUUAUCCGGAUUCACUGGGUUUAAAGGGUGCGUAGGUGGGUUGGUAAGUCAGUGGUGAAAUCCCCGAGCUUAACUUGGGAACUGCCAUUGAUACUAUCAGUCUUGAAUACCGUGGAGGUCAGCGGAAUAUGUCAUGUAGCGGUGAAAUGCUUAGAUAUGACAUAGAACACCAAUUGCGAAGGCAGCUGGCUACGCGAAUAUUGACACUGAGGCACGAAAGCGUGGGGAUCAAACAGGAUUAGAUACCCCGGUAGG